This is a non-coding RNA of Rattus norvegicus (Norway rat), 2472 nucleotides long. The record is from RefSeq and is a predicted model, not a curated record. Lineage: Eukaryota; Metazoa; Chordata; Mammalia; Rodentia; Muridae.
CUGUCAAGAUGUGACUGCAUAGAUGCAUGACUGGAGAAGUGUGACAUCUGAAACAAAUAGCAGAGAAGAACACAAGUCACAAAAAUCCUGAGGAAGCAGUUAAGUCCAAAAGAUGAUCUGGGUUUCAUCCCUAAGCUACCUCUAACCCAGCCUUUGGGCGAGUCAGGUCUUUAACAGUACAUCUGUUAGCUAGGGUACUCUUGUUAUCAUUAGAAUCUCAGUUUUGUCUUACAGAGGCGAAUAGCGAUGCGUGUCCUCCACUGGAGCAACUGAGGGACAAGUCAUAUGGAACAAUUGUGUGCAAAGUCUAAAGUGCUUUAUGAAAUACGUAAAUCCUCUAAGGCCCCUGUGAAUUACACUUUGUCUUCUUUCAAGAUCCACCUGGAUGGGUGAGAUGCUUCACCACAGAGGAGUUCAUCAUCUGGACUGUUCAGCUCUUAAACACUUUCCUAUUGGAACUGAAGCCAAAGAAGAGGACAGUUAUUUUCUGUCUUUACUCGCUGACAGCAAGAUCUUGGACCAAACUUUGAGUGUAAUUAUCUUUGAGUGGAUUAUGACAAAUAAUGCAAAGAGAUAGGGAUAAACAGACAAGAUUCAUGGUGUGGUAUCUGAUUGUAGUAAGAUCAGGGUCUUUGUGGGUGCCACAGAUCUGGGCUGUGAUCGGACAUCUUAAUAACUUCUUUAUUUUUUUUUAAUUUUUAUUGAUCCUUUGUAAAUUUCACAUUAUGCUCUCCAAUCCCACUCAUCCCUCCAUAUCUACCCUCUGCCCUCGCAACUUCUCCCUCAAAGAAAACAAACAGACAAACAAAGAAUCUCACCGUGGAAGCUGCAGUGUGUCACUUUGUGUCACACAGUAUACCCUUUUGCCCAAACAGCUUUUCUUGCAAAUGCUCAUUGCAGUGCGUCAUUAGUCUGUUUGAGCCCUCUGGCUUCUGCUACAUUAUCAGUACUGGAUCCUCACUGGGACUCUUUUGGGUAUCCUGUUGUCCUCUGUUAUGGAGAUUCUGAAGCUUUGGUUCUGGAGGACCAGCCCCUUUAUGUGCUAUAGCAGUUCAUUAAUGAGGUAGAUGUUGGGGUAGGACUUGAUCUAGGCCUGGAUGGCUGCUGAGUUGGUCAGCCUGACACCUCUCCAAUGCUCACAUUAUUGGGACCAGCAAUCCAGCACUGACCAGAUGAGGUGCAGGGCCAGCUCUCUCAAGUGCUGCAGCUGGUGAGAAGCAGAGCCAGCUCUCUUGUUCUUACCUUUGGGGUCAGCUCCCAUAAUGCCCAGGCUCUUGAGCCUGGUUCUUCACUCAUCAGAUCCAUUCCUUGACCAUCCUAUGCACUUACUUCCUACUUGAUACUUAAGUCAAUCAGUGUUGAUUUCUAUUGUUUGAAACUACCAACCCUGAGUAGAACAAAAUAGGCUAGGAAUUCAAAUGUAGAGAUUUGAACUUUAUACUGUUAUAGCAUUGGUAGAAUUAUUAAAAAGUAAACUUGGAAACAAAUCAAUAUGGAAUCUUCGCUCUUAUUCUUACUAAGCCAUCAAAAGCCUGUUACCCAGCUGUGAAACUCACAUUAAGGCAAAAAAAAUAUAAAAAUAAAAAUAAAUAAAUCAACCCUUAUUUUAUAGUCCUUGAGCUUGGCCAAAAUUGAAACAUGAUGCUGCUUAGAAAAUGUUAUUUUCAAUGUGUCAAUUUGUCUCCUGGCUGUCUUCACUGUAUAUGGAACCCAUGAAAACGUUGACUCUAAGUCAAUGCCCAGAGCUAGUUCUUUACUUCUAUAAUGUGCCCCAGUCCUUUGUUUUAUCUUGCUCAUGCAAUGCAGUACUUAUGAGUGUCAUUGUCUAAAUCUCAGGAAAGUGUAUCUUUUUGUGUCAUCAACUUUUGUAUGAGCUGUAGUUAGUACAAAGUUUUCUAAUCUGGAAGUCAGUUUUAAUACUGUUAGGAGACACCAAGAGUCUACCAGGACUUUUGUGCCAUGGCUUCUGGGGUAGAAUGGAGACUUCCAUGAUUUAUUUCACAUUGUAAAACAAGAACAAGGAUAAGGUUUAAAAAACAGCAAUGGAUAAAAAGAAAUUCGAAGGAGGGGCAUUGGGAAUUAGCCUAGUGAUAUCAAAGAACAUUUAUCAAGCAUCUUGCUUCAGUCUCUAGAUAGCUGUGCAGGGACUGUUACUGAAAAUAUUCAGAGGGAAGGAUGCUGAAAGGCAUGUGAAAGUCUAUUAUAGGACUGGCAGUGCUGGGUGACAGUAUAUAUGCCUGUCAAUUAUUUGUCCUUGGAUUAAUCCUUUCAGCUUAGGGCCUUGGUAUAGUUUGAUAGAGACAUUCUUUUCUAGAUAAAUAUUUUCAUUCCUCACUGGAUCUUUGGAGAAUGUAAGUUGAAGUUCCAGAUAACACUGCUCUCUGCAAUAUAAAUGGUUCUGUGAGGACAACAAGGUACCUUAAAGGCAUUGAUUGUAGAUCCCAGACAUACCUGGCUUCCAAUCCCAGUGCC